GAAUAUUGGACAAUGGGGGCAACCCUGAUCCAGCCAUGCCGCGUGUGUGAAGAAGGCCUUAGGGUUGUAAAACACUUUCAGCGGGGAAGAUGAUGACGGUACCCGCAGAAGAAGCCCCGGCUAACUCCGUGCCAGCAGCCGCGGUAAUACGGAGGGGGCUAGCGUUGUUCGGAAUUACUGGGCGUAAAGGGCGUGUAGGCGGCUUGCCAAGUCAGGCGUGAAAGCCCCGGGCUUAACCUGGGAACUGCGUUUGAGACUGGCAGGCUAGAGGUUGGAAGAGGAGAGUGGAAUUCCCAGUGUAGAGGUGAAAUUCGUAGAUAUUGGGAAGAACACCGGUGGCGAAGGCGGCUCUCUGGUCCACACCUGACGCUGAGGCGCGAAAGCGUGGGGAGCAAACAGG
RNAcentral lists this ribosomal RNA (400 nucleotides) under uncultured bacterium. RNAcentral's name for it is "bacterial SSU rRNA". It matches the Rfam family "Bacterial small subunit ribosomal RNA", at positions 359 to 776 of the family's 1533-position model. The record is from RNAcentral.